GACGAACGCUGGCGGCGUGCUUAACACAUGCAAGUCGAACGGAAAGGCCCUGCUUUUGUGGGGUGCUCGAGUGGCGAACGGGUGAGUAACACGUGAGUAACCUGCCCUUGACUUUGGGAUAACUUCAGGAAACUGGGGCUAAUACCGGAUAGGAGCUCCUGCUGCAUGGUGGGGGUUGGAAAGUUUCGGCGGUUGGGGAUGGACUCGCGGCUUAUCAGCUUGUUGGUGGGGUAGUGGCUUACCAAGGCUUUGACGGGUAGCCGGCCUGAGAGGGUGACCGGCCACAUUGGGACUGAGAGACGGCCCAGACUCCUACGGGAGGCAGCAGUGGGGAAUAUUGCACAAUGGGCGGAAGCCUGAUGCAGCAACGCCGCGUGCGGGAUGACGGCCUUCGGGUUGAAAACCGCUGUCGACUGUGACGAAGCGGGAGUGACGGUAAUGGGUAAAGAAGCACCGGCUAACUACGUG
RNAcentral lists this ribosomal RNA (468 nucleotides) under uncultured bacterium. Its description in RNAcentral is "partial 16S ribosomal RNA". It matches the Rfam family "Bacterial small subunit ribosomal RNA", at positions 28 to 507 of the family's 1533-position model. The record is from RNAcentral.